GGAGGGGUGGCAGAGCGGCUUAAUGCACCGGUCUUGAAAACCGGAGCCCGGUUUCCCGGGCCGCGGGUUCGAAUCCCGCCCCCUCCG
RNAcentral lists this transfer RNA (87 nucleotides) under Actinomycetota bacterium. RNAcentral's name for it is "tRNA-Ser". It matches the Rfam family "tRNA". Rfam says of the family: Transfer RNA (tRNA) molecules are approximately 80 nucleotides in length. Their secondary structure includes four short double-helical elements and three loops (D, anti-codon, and T loops). The record is from RNAcentral. Lineage: Bacteria; Bacillati; Actinomycetota.